Molecule: ribosomal RNA, 252 nt
Filed under: uncultured bacterium
Lineage: Bacteria
Description: partial 16S ribosomal RNA
Rfam family: Bacterial small subunit ribosomal RNA
Source: RNAcentral
UACAGAGGUCCCAAGCGUUGUUCGGAUUCACUGGGCGUAAAGGGUGCGUAGGUGGUGAGGUAAGUCGGAUGUGAAAUCUCCGAGCUCAACUCGGAAAUGGCAUUGGAAACUACCUUGCUCGAGGUUGGAGGGGGGACUGGAAUGCUUGGUGUAGCAGUGAAAUGCGUAGAUAUCAAGCGGAACACCAGUGGCGAAGGCGAGUCCCUGGACAACUCCUGACACUGAGGCACGAAAGCUAGGGGAGCAAACAGG